This 466-nucleotide ribosomal RNA is filed under the name uncultured bacterium. RNAcentral's name for it is "partial 16S ribosomal RNA". It matches the Rfam family "Bacterial small subunit ribosomal RNA", at positions 28 to 507 of the family's 1533-position model. The record is from RNAcentral.
GACGAACGCUGGCGGUGUGCUUAACACAUGCAAGUCGAACGGUAAGGCCCUUUCGGGGGUACACGAGUGGCGAACGGGUGCGUAACACGUGAGUAACCUGCCCUCAUCUCUGGGAUAACAGUCGGAAACGGUUGCUAAUACUGGAUAUGAGCUUGCAAGGCAUCUUGUGGGUUGGAAAGAUUUUUUUGGUUGGGGAUGGACUCGCGGCCUAUCAGCUUGUUGGUGAGGUAGUGGCUCACCAAGGCUUCGACGGGUAGCCGGCCUGAGAGGGCGACCGGCCACAUUGGGACUGAGAUACGGCCCAAACUCCUACGGGAGGCAGAAGUGGGGAAUAUUGCACAAUGGACGGAAGUCUGAUGCAGCAACGCCGCGUGCGGGAUGACGGCCUUAGGGUUGUAAACCGCUUUCAAUUGUGACGAAGCUUUUUGUGACGGUAGCAGUAGAAGAAGCACCGGCUAACUACGUG